GUGGGGAAUAUUGGGCAAUGGGGGAAACCCUGACCCAGCAACGCCGCGUGAGGGAAGAAGGUUUUCGGAUUGUAAACCUCUGUCCUUGGUGACGAAGGAAGUGACGGUAGCCAAGGAGGAAGCCCCGGCUAACUACGUGCCAGCAGCCGCGGUAAUACGUAGGGGGCAAGCGUUGUCCGGAAUGACUGGGCGUAAAGGGCGUGUAGGCGGCCGAUUAAGUCUGGAGUGAAAGUCCUGCUUUCAAGGUGGGAAUUGCUUUGGAGACUGGUUGGCUUGAGUGCGGAAGAGGUAAGUGGAAUUCCCAGUGUAGCGGUGAAAUGCGUAGAGAUUGGGAGGAACACCAGUGGCGAAGGCGACUUACUGGGCCGUAACUGACGCUGAGGCGCGAAAGCGUGGGGAGCGAACAGGAUUAGAAACCCUUGUAGUCC
Molecule: ribosomal RNA, 428 nt
Filed under: uncultured bacterium
Lineage: Bacteria
Description: partial 16S ribosomal RNA
Rfam family: Bacterial small subunit ribosomal RNA
Source: RNAcentral